GCCUUCGGGUUGUAAACCUCUUUCAGUAGGGAAGAAGCGAAAGUGACGGUACCUGCAGAAGAAGCGCCGGCUAACUACGUGCCAGCAGCCGCGGUAAUACGUAGGGCGCAAGUGUUAUCCGGAAUUAUUGGGCGUAAAGAGCUCGUAGGCGGUUUGUCGCGUCUGCCGUGAAAGUCCGGGGCUCAACUCCGGAUCUGCGGUGGGUACGGGCAGGCUAGAGUGAUGUAGGGGAGACUGGAAUUCCUGGUGUAGCGGUGAAAUGCGCAGAUAUCAGGAGGAACACCGAUGGCGAAGGCAGGUCUCUGGGCAUUAACUGACGCUGAGGAGCGAAAGCAUGGGGAGCGAACAGGAUUAGAUACCCUGGUAGUCCAUGCCGUAAACGUUGGGCACUAGGUGUGGGGGACAUUCCACGUUUUCCGCGCCGUAGCUAACGCAUUAAGUGCCCCGCCUGGGGAGUACGGCCGCAAGGCUAAAACUCAAAGGAAUUGACGGGGGCCCGCACAAGCGGCGGAGCAUGCGGAUUAAUUCGAUGCAACGCGAAGAACCUUACCAAGGCUUGACAUGGACCGGACCGCCGCAGAGAUGUGGUUUCUCCUUUUGGGGCCGGUUCACAGGUGGUGCAUGGUUGUCGUCAGCUCGUGUCGUGAGAUGUUGGGUUAAGUCCCGCAACGAGCGCAACCCUCGUUCCAUGUUGCCAGCGCGU
This 703-nucleotide ribosomal RNA is filed under the name uncultured Arthrobacter sp. Its description in RNAcentral is "bacterial SSU rRNA". It matches the Rfam family "Bacterial small subunit ribosomal RNA", at positions 414 to 1126 of the family's 1533-position model. The record is from RNAcentral. Lineage: Bacteria; Bacillati; Actinomycetota; Actinomycetes; Micrococcales; Micrococcaceae.